AGUUCAUGGCUUAAUGUCGCAGGUUAUUAAAGACAUUCUUUUCAAUAGCGUUUGUAAGUCAGGCAAGUCGCAGACUGAACCCUCUGAUCCAGAGCCGAUGGUCGAAAUCUGAAUAGUUUCAUCCUAUUAGUCCAGAUUUAGAUUUGUCUCUAGGUUUCUUUUUGCAGUUAACUAAACAUACAGCUUUGAGUCUAUUAUAUGUAGGUCCCAAGGGGUGAAAGUUUAAGAUGGCCACCCCUGAUAUAAAUUAUCAUUGCUGUUUAAUGUUUUGAAGAUUUUGCCAAAUCUUUCACUAGUUCUUUUCCUUGUCUUCUUUUCUUUUGUUAUUUAGAGAAGUUCUGUAAAUCAUGAACCAUCCUUUUAUAUGAAUGGUACUACCUCUAUCUUGU
RNAcentral lists this unclassified non-coding RNA (389 nucleotides) under Hevea brasiliensis (rubber tree). Lineage: Eukaryota; Viridiplantae; Streptophyta; Magnoliopsida; Malpighiales; Euphorbiaceae. The record is from RNAcentral.